This 115-nucleotide ribosomal RNA is filed under the name Pseudomonadota bacterium. Its description in RNAcentral is "Proteobacteria bacterium (groundwater metagenome) partial 16S ribosomal RNA". It matches the Rfam family "Bacterial small subunit ribosomal RNA", at positions 1 to 111 of the family's 1533-position model. RNAcentral also lists the same sequence under 1 other name. The record is from RNAcentral. Lineage: Bacteria; Pseudomonadati; Pseudomonadota.
UAAUUGGAGAGUUUGAUCCUGGCUCAGAAUGAACGCUGGCGGCGUGCUUAACACAUGCAAGUCGCACGAGAACUCUUCUGCUUGCAGAAGAUAGUAAAGUGGCGCACGGGUGAGU